RNAcentral lists this ribosomal RNA (253 nucleotides) under uncultured bacterium. RNAcentral's name for it is "partial 16S ribosomal RNA". It matches the Rfam family "Bacterial small subunit ribosomal RNA", at positions 524 to 776 of the family's 1533-position model. The record is from RNAcentral.
UACGCAGGGUGCAAGCGUUAAUCGGAAUUACUGGGCGUAAAGCGUGCGCAGGCGGUUUUGUAAGUUUGUCGUGAAGGCCCCGGGCUCAACCUGGGAAUUGCGAUGAAGACUGCAAGGCUUGAAUCUGGCAGAGGGGGGUAGAAUUCCACGUGUAGCAGUGAAAUGCGUAGAGAUGUGGAGGAACACCGAUGGCGAAGGCAGCCCCCUGGGUCAAGAUUGACGCUCAUGCACGAAAGCGUGGGGAGCAAACAGG